UAAAUGAAAAAAAAAACAGUCAAAUAGCGAGCGACGAUUGCGACCGCCAGACACUAUCCCUGUACUUGUAUUUAAAAUGAUUUUAAUAUACACUAUUACAAUUUUAUCACUCGUCUGUUUAAUAAACCAACACGUAUUAUUGAGAUAUGUGUAACUUUGUGUGCUACACGAUAUUAACCGCAUAGUAGUGACAUACAUAUAUGAAUAUGAGUGUGUGUGGGAGUACGUGCGUGCGCAGCGUGUGGUAAAACAGAAGAAUGCAACUGUUGCGUACGCAUGGUGAUGAAAAAGAUGGCGAGAGAAAAAGAGUGAUGAGAUGCGUGCAAUGUGUAUCUACGAACAUCUUGUAAAUCACAUACUGGAUAAAUCUGAAACUAUUUUAAUAUCAUUUCUACAUGUAACGUAAGUGUUCCUAUACAUUUAUUUCGGCGACUAAGAUCCACAAUUCUCAACAGAUUGGCCGGCUUUUGCCAAACCGCGACGCAAGGUUUGCGGUUAUAGUAAUAAACGAGCCGUAUUUAAUGAAACUGAGAAGAUCGGAGGACGAAGAGUAUAUUGGAACAGUAGCAAAGCACUAUCCUCCUCUUUCCUCGGUUCUCCUGCCUCUCGAAAUCGAAUCCCAUCAGCGUCACCGCGCAAGUGGCUUCACUUCAAAAUUCAAUGAUCUUCUCCAGCUUUCCGAGCACGAGCCACCGCGGACAGAAUCACCGUCCAGAUAUAUCAACCCCGGGUCGCUCCUUUCUCCGUUCCUCCAUUCUAUUAUCGGCAGAGAAUGUACGCGUUGUUCGGGAGGAAUGAUAACUCGCGCCGGAACAACCGACGAGAAUUCUUUCUCAAGAGUCCUUGCUCUUCUCCGGCAGUUUGAUAUCGAAAUUAGAAUUUUUUCCAUUUUCUUCGGGAUUAAAUUUGAAAUUUAUAAAUUUGAAUUUUAAAAUAGAAUUUGCUCGAUUGUAUCUUUCGCUUUUAAUCGAUUCUUCAAGUACCAGCAGUAUUUUUAUAAAUCGUCCCCUCCAAACGGAAGAAAGCAGCAAAAUUAAAUACGACAGCGUUAGUAAUAGAGUAAUAAAAUAUAUAUUGGUUAAGUAAAAAUAGUUAAUGAAUAAGAAUAUUAGACGAAUGGAUAUUAUAAUUUUCGAAUGAAAUUUGAUGAGCGAUUUCCCUGUCUCGAACUUGGUUCAAAUCUGGUUAAUCUCUUCGACUGAAUAUUCAUAACAAAAUUGAUGAAUAUUGAUCGAUGUGAUGAAAUAUAGGGAAUAUUUCCGGAAGCGUGUAAAUUGGUAUAAAACUAAGGUAGCAAAAAAGUAUACAAAAUUAUCAGAAAGAUGCAAAACUACGUUUCAUAGAAAAAAAAUAUGGGGAAACUACGUUCCAUAGGACAAAUGCAUAAAACUACAUGUUAGUGGCAGAAAUAGCAGAAUAGAUAUUAUUAAAAAAUAUUAAUAAUUAUUGUUGCAUAUUAUGUUCUCUAACUCAUGAUUAUUGUAAAAUAUGUAAUAUAUAUUAGAAUAUUUUCCUACUGUAUGAAGCACAUGUUAUACAUUUUUAAUUAUUAAAAACUUACUAAUUACUCGGUGGUAUUUUCAGUGAAAUCUAUAGUGAGUCUACGAACCACAUUUCUUACCUAAUUUCUACAGACAUACUAACACGUAUUACAUUGUCGUUAUCAUUAUAUAUAACUAUAAAAUGUCUCAUUGUAAGAUACCCUGUGUCUUUGUCUCUCACAACGUCACCAAGGUUAAAUACGUGCAGCAAUAUCAUCAAUCAAUGUCACAAAAUACGUACUGGUACGUGCCCUCGUAUCUCGUUUCUUUCCUACAAAACUUUAAUCACAUGCUGGUUUCUUCAUUUGUUUUUUCUCGGCAUCUUUAAAAUUCCACAAUUCCAAGAAACAUGUUACUACAAAAACCGCUACACUAUUAUAUAUAUAUUUACAAUAUCAAUAUAUUACAAUAGUAUAUAUAUAUAUAUAUUUCUAUCAAACUACAAGAACCAUUAUACAUUUCAUAACUAUAAAACCACUCAGUAGCAUUCAAUUUUGGUAUGUUGUAUUGCAUAUUUUUGUACGUUAAACAAUUUGUUCUUUCUUCUUCCCCAAGAGGAACAGAUUGUAUUGCUUCGAAAAAAGAAAAAGGUUGGAAGGUUAGUUCGUUCUUCCUUCACAACUAUAUUUAGUUGGCAACUACGUAACAUAACCACAACCUAACCCUAACUAACUUAGUUGCCAACCUAAUACAGCGUAACAGAAUAUUUUAUUACACAAAAACGAAAAUUGCAAUCGGAUGUAAUCAGAUUUUGUUGCAUCGUAUCUCGUACUUAAGAACUAAUUUUAGUAUAGUUUAAUAGUUACGAGUAGACCGUGGAUUUUCAUGCAUCUGCAGGAAAUCUGAAAGUGGAAAAUUGCACAGGAUAUGAGACAAUAUAUCAAAUAUUCAAAAUAUAGUGCCUUCUAUAAUACUCGACAGCUAAAACAAUUUUUCUACCGAGAUUCUACUUUUCUAAUUAUACUCACAAUAAAUAUGAAUAUGCAUAAAAAUUCGCAUUUAGAGACGCAACGCUAUCACAGACGGCCCGUAUCGUCUUAAUGACUAUCGUGUGAGAAAAUAACUUGUAAUAAGAAAUCGUGGACUGUUUUAUCAACCGUGUAUCUGCACUAUAUCUCAUCAUCUCUAUUCUUCUCGAACCGUGACAGAGUCUAUUACGUUUCAUUACUUAUGGUGGAAUCGAGGCGAUUCGUUACGACAGAGGCGACAUCUCGAUUCUUGACUGCGAACGGCCAUGAAAAAUUAGCAAACGGACAGUAGGAGCGUAAUUUUCCGGCCGUCUGAUUUUCCAAGCCGAGAAUUCACCGGCAACGUAAUGCGAUACGAAGUUGAGGCGUUGCAGGCGCAAAUGAAAUUACGAGUUGCCGGCCCCCAGGUAUCGAACUUCCGGCUGUAAAGGGGCCGAGAAAACUUGCCCUGGCCGAUUAGUUCGGCGAAGUUAGCUCGUUGCAUAUUACGCGCGAUAAAAACUUGCUUUAACGAACCUCGAAUAUACGAUGCUCGGUUAUUACGUAUUUCUGGCUGUUCUGAUGAUAGUUGCAAACUGGCCGAAUAUAAUUCCUUUGUUCCUUCGUGAUUACGUGGUUUAUGAAACUAUUAAUUUAAUAUCCAGCUGGUACAUUGAUGAAUUCCUUUUAGUAGCUUGCGUUUUGUUUCGAAGUUCAAAAACGUGGAAAGUUAAAAUUGAAUUCGAAGACUUGAAUUUGACAAUUCGAAGAAAGUAUGAAAAAAUUUCGAUUUCAAUUUUAUUCGGAUAGAAAUUUGUUACGAAGAUUAUAUUUAAAUUCGAAGAUCCAAAUUCGCACGUGAAAACUGGAAUUUGUAUCUAAUAAUGACAAAUCUCAAUUUCAAGACUUGGGUUUGCAGAUCAAUUUAUUAUAUGAAUUUACAUUUAAAUUUGAGAACUUGAAUUUGAGUCUGAACAUUUGAAUUUGUAUUUAGAAAUUUAAACUUAUAUUUGGAAACUUGAAUUUCAGCCAGAGUUUGAAUUUGGUGUCUGAUAACCUCGUGUUCAUCAAGCAUUCUGGCAUAUGUGUACAGUUUGCAGGACUUGAUUAGUCCGACAGUGUGUUACAGAAGGCUCGUGUAAUUCUCGUCACAAAUUCCUCCAGACGAUUCAGCCUUUCAACUUGCCCCUAACAAGGAGCCAAACGAUAUUUUAUGACCAUCCACUUUUCCUCUAUCUUCAUAUUUACCUAUAAAAUAUGAUUUUAAACUUCUUCCUACGUUUAUCCACUUACCUAUCCUAUCUAUCUUUCUCACCUAACCUCAUUAACCUAUUUUUUAAACAAACUUUUCUUCCUCCUCAAAUCAAACAUCAACAUCAACAGUAUACCAUCCCAUUUGAAAAAUUAGAAUACGAAAACAAAUUUCAUGCGAGAGCUAGCAACGCGUCGUGCAUCCGGCAGCUCAAGUUUCCCAUUUCCAAGAGAAACAUUCGAGAACUGUAUCGAUAAGCAGAAAACAAAGGAUAAGAGGUUCAGUGAAAAGAAAGCAAAAGAAGCAAGGGCUGGCGUUUUUGAGGAACCUACUUUUCCCGUGCCAAGACAAAGAUUCACGGCUGUAGUGGGAGAAGAGGAGAGGCAAUUUCUUCUAAAAGGCUGUUAUCCGGCGGCUUCGAUUCCUUUCGAGGCUAGACACGGCCCGGAUACAAGUUUCAACGGCGCAAAAUGGCUGGCGACGGUCUCGCGAGCGGAACACGAGUCUUAGCUCGCGAACUCAGCACUUUGCCACAAGAACCUAUCUCCACCAACCGCUCUCACCAACGUCCAAUUAAAUGUACGAAGAUUACCGCAGCCGCUAACUUUGAGUGCUCCACGAAUCGUUUCUCUUCCUUUCGAUCCAGAGUUCGGUUCUGUUUUCAGCGAACAAAUAUAUUGGGUUGGACAGACAGAUCUUUGCGUUUUAGGUUAUGUGAUAACAGACAGUUUUCGUUGAUGUUAAAUUUUGUUAAACUUCGAAAGAGAUACGUCGCACUUCUUCAAAGAUUCCGUUGACUUGUAUAUAGCUAUGUACUUGAUAAUAUAUAUAUUGUAUAUUGUAGAUAAAAGUAUAGUGGGAGCAAAAGUAUUAACACACUGUUGUAUUUAUUAUAGCAUUUACAUACUAAUUGCUUAGAUCGUAAGAGAUUGUAUUUACCUUGAGGUGUGCUAUUAUUUAUGGCACCUUCUUGCGACAAAUGAAAAUUGGUCGUUUGUCCUUUUCUUUCCUUCUUCUUUUCUUCUUUUGGGGAGGGGAGGGGGUCGAACGUUAAUGAUACAACCAGUUAAUAAAAACCAAUUUUCAUUUGUCGCAAGAAGGUGGCAUAAAUAAUAGCAAACCUCGAGGUAAAUUUAAUCUCUUACGAUCUAAUCAAUUAGUAUGCAAAAUGCUACAAUAAAUAUGUGGCGGCACUCGGCAACAAUGUAUAUCGCCGAAGCGAAAUGCCUAAUGAGCCAUCAAAUCCCAACGGUCUUCCGCCGAAUAUUCGAGAAGGCGCGCGUGCCAAUGGUCGCGGACGCCCAACAAACGCGUGAAUAGUGGGGAUAUUGAGGGGCGACAAAAAGAAAAGAAUCGAAUCCGAUCGACAGUUUUAGCUCGAACGAGGAAGCGAUAAGGUCGAAGUAUAACCGCGCAGCGAGAUUGACUAGCGAAACCGAGAGCGAUACGCGACGCGAUCAAAAGAAGACACUUGUUAAUAAAUAUAUUGUUGACCUAAACACCGAGUGAUUAUUUAACGCACUACACCCAAUAUCACCUCAAAUACAACAAUGUGUUAAUACUUUUGCUGCCACUAUGAGAAACUGAAAAGUUGAAAAAAGUGAAGCUGGCCAAUUCGUUUCAGAGAAUCUGUUUGCAAUCAUUUCGACUAAUGAACCACUAUGUUUUCGUCUAUUUCAGCAAAACUAGAGGAGAAAAAACGAGUUGAGGAAAUAGGUACAGGUGAAACAAUUAAUUCGUCGCUAGAGUAAUCAACGAAUGACCAGCGGGUUAGCAUUCAAUUUAAUUGAAACUAGAAGUUAGGGGAGGAAAAUUUCUAUGCAACGACCACGGAAUAAUACAUCGUCAACGUUCAAUUAAAUUCGCUGGCUGUUUCUUCGCAAUUCGUGGCUCGCCUUUAUAAUUCACUUGGCGAAUUCUCCAUGCCGUGGGAUAUGAAUCGCAGCAAAUAGUCCGUACAAUUUUCGGUGCAUAGUUCCCUGGAGGCGGCGAAUAAAUUUCCCCGCGUUUCCCAGACGUUUCGCGUUUCGUGUAUCGUAUGUAUAUCCUUCCGUUGCGUGAUGUACAUAUCGCGAAUGUUUGCUCGAAACGUCAUAGAAGUUGACGCAUGUCGUACAGUUCGACGUUGCCGUGAAGGAAAGGGUUGGCAACUGCAAGAGGGUAGAAAUUUUAUUUCUUACCUAUCUCUCGUACGAUGGAAAGCUACACUCUGCAGAAAGGUUCGUAAAUGAAUAAACAUAUGCGUGAAUAUGUCAAAAAGUAGAUAAUAAAUAUAUAUAACUGGUUAUUACGGGAAACUUAUUUUUACUUUUAAUUUAAAUCGUCUAUCUUCUAGAAUUUUAUUUAUUGUUUAUUGUUUAUUUAUUGAUUAAGUGAACUCAAGGAACCCUCUUGAACGAUGGAAUGCAAUGGAACAAAAUCUUGAACUAUUAUUAGUACAAUUUGAAUUAUAUUGGGUUGGCAAUUAAAUGAUUGCGGAUUUUGCCAUUGCCACAUAAUGGCAAAAUCCGCAAUCACUUAGUUGCCAACACAAUAGUUUGUUGAAAAAUUAUCAAAUUCUAAGAGGUCUAUGACUCGUAACUUGUUUGAAUCUGCCAUGAUGGUUGCGUGAAUAUCUCAUCGUAGUUUAUGAAACAUCGGCUUACAAAGCAAUAUAUAACACGAUUGAUAACUCGAAGGUCAACUACGAUGAACUUGUAACUUGUAAAUUUAUUAAUUUUAUUAAUUGAUUAAACACAUGAUGAAAAAAUUGCUGACGAAUCUAUUCAUCUGAACGUAAAUUCCUACUGCAUAAAAUCAUACCUAACUAUUAGCUCCCAAAAAUGUCUUUCGUUAUCUGUAGGCAACUGCUUUAUCUGGCUAUGUUGAUACAAACAUGAAACCUAAUCUGUCAAAUGUUGUGGUCUUUAUCUUCGAUCGUCCUCUAGCUGUCGUAGGACACGUUUCGUUCGCAUCAAAACAAAAAACGUUGUGCAUCUAUUAUUUUCUUCUAAAACGAAAGAAACUUUUAGGUUAACCUAUAAUAGAAAGAAUCAGCGAACUCUUAUUACGUGAACUGUUCGUUCCGCGAGAAGUUGAGAUAAAUUACUGUCUACUUUCUACAUUACGUACAAUGUAUGAGGAUGAGUGAUGAAAGAUGAGUGGAGAAAAGAAAGAGUAAAAUUUGUUCGUUUAUGAGGCUUUAUUCUGGAGAAAAUCGAGUUUGGAAAUUUAUCGAGUACACGUGCACUCUGCACUCACCUAACUGCUGGUUGAACGUGUUCGUCGAGCUCGUGGAUGGAGCGUCAACGACUCCAAUUUCAGACAUUAUUUUAGGAAAAACGAGGCGUACGAUGAAAAAAUAUUAUUCUACAUUUUUUACUUAUCUCGCCUUAUUACCACAGUAUCGGCCUUUAUUCGACUAUAAGCUAGUCAAGUGCACGUAUACUCGACAUAUUUUUAAACCUAAUUCUCUCUGAAAUGAAGUUUCAAAAGAAAAUACCCUAGUUUAUAUUUUCCACUUAUUUUCGCUUCUAAAACAAUGUUCUGUUUAACUAUCGUCUGUGAGACGACAACCUUUCGUCUGAAAUUGCGAACAAAAUGGCUACCGCGCUCAGUGGCUUCUUAUUUACGUUCGAGAAAUACGCACUGCGUUCGUUGUUUGACAAGCUAUCGUGUUGCACAGUCUGUGUGACUAAUUUACAGGUUACGUGAUAAUAAAAUAUAGUAAAUGAUAUGAAAGUAAAGUCAAAGACAAGUAAUAAGUAAGGAUUGGGUUGGCAACUAAGUUAUUGCAGAUUUUGUCAUUAGAUGGUAUUGACAAAACCCGCAAUCACUUAGUUGUCAAUUCAAUAAUUUUAUAUUAUGCGUGCUUUUUUCUUCUUGUUACUUAUUGUUUUAUUAUUUAUUAUUAAAUGACUGGCGUAUUCAUAACUCGUUUGUACAAUAUAUUGCAAUAUGCCAAUUUUUAUUUUAUCCAUCAAAACGAUGUAAGAUGACUAAACACUUCUGAAAAUACUGCGAUAAAGCUGUUUGUAGCGAGCAGACUGUUGCAGUUCGUAGCAACAUAAUUGACAGGAUGUGAGGUCAUUUGAAUGCCUAAAAUACACGUACAAAGUUAAGAAAAAUAACAGAUAAGUAAAAUAUAUGAAACACGUUAAAUUGAAUUGUUCUAAAAACGAGGCUAUAAAAGAAUAAUCUUUAUUCGACAUUUCUCACUUACGUAUAAACAUAGAGCAACUUUUUCUCUGCAAACACCAAUUUUUUCACUUGCGUUGUAUAUUUUUUUAUAUUACUAUUAUUCGUAAUUCUUUCCUGCAAGUUUCAUAAUUUAAUCGUCCCUAGAUAUAAAAAUUUGUAAAAGGUUAUGAUUGUCACGUGCAUAUAACAGAAAUUGGCAAACGCUUUCGGACAAUACGAUUUUAAGAGGAAAAAGAAAAUUUAUAGCGUAGGUUUGCCUGCAAUUGGUUAAGUGUUUUACUUGAGAUAUCUCGAGAGAGAGGAUUCCUAGAAAUUGGCCGGCUCGACUAAAUAUUGAAAUAGGUUUCGUAAGCGGUUCUCUUCUGUUCGUUUAAAGGAAACGUGGUGUUGCGACACCUACAACUUUCUAGCUGAUCCCAGGCGAAUUAGUCCUUGCAUGUAACGCAACUAGUUUACAGUGACUGUAAGCGUUACAGUAAAUCGAUAUCAGGAUAAAUUUUUCAGACACCUGCACACAGGAAACGGACAAAAGAUGAAAAUCGAUUUUCAACGAUAGAUUCAGUCUAUAAGAACCAACUAUCUUUUCAACACAGGACACUAUUCUUAUAUUGGGUUGGCAAGUGAUCGCGGAUUGUGUCAUUACCACCUAAUGUUACUUAAUUGCCUAUAAAAUCGCUGUAUCUGCAAACUUUGUGACAAAUGAGCCAUUUAAAAUUGUUUCUUAACACGAUGAAAACCCAAUUUUUCGCCAAUUCGAUAAAUUAUCAGGAAUAGAACUAUUGAGAUAUGUGUAAUUUUGUGUGCUACACUGGAUUAGCCGCGUGGUAGUUACACACAUAUAUAAGUAUGAGUGUGUGAAGUAUGUGCGUGCGCAGCGUAUGGUAAAACAGAAGAAUGCAACUGUUGCGUACGCAUGGUGAUGAAAAGAUGGCGGGACAAAGAGAAUGCUGAGACGCGUGCAAUGUUUACAUACGAAUAUUUUGUAAAUCACAUAUUAAAUAAAUCUGAAACUAUUUUGAUAUCAAUUCUAAGUGUAAUUACAAUAAAACCAGUGCACGAAUAUUCGGACUAUUUGACGUUUCGACGUACUCGAUAAAAACGUCAAUAUAUUCAGAUACAGUGGCUGCAGAAAUUAUCGAUGCGUAGCCUUAUCUUGCAGCGAAACGUCCCUUUAUCAGAGACUUUUAUAGCGGUAAAUUAAUCAUAUGAAAGUAUUACACCGAAUCGUGCGAGAUAUAUUUCGCUCUAAUUAAUUAGCAUGUAUAGCAUAGACGUUGCAGUUGUCACGUAGGAGACAAGAAAUCCAGUGGUUCCAGGAUUUUGGAGAUAGUCCAAACUUCCGGGUGGAGCCUGUAGAAUUUUAAUUACGCCGGUGGCCAGGCCCAGACAACAAAAGGCAGCCGCGUAUUCGGUACACAAGGUUUGCCCUUUUUCUCGCCAUUCUACUCGCGUCUCUCCACCCCCCCUCGGCUAUUCUAUUCGGCCGCCAAAUAGGUCAGCCAUCUUGCUAUUCUGUUUUCUUCCCCAUUCACGUUGUCGCGGCUUCGAGAAUUAGCCGAAUUUCCUAUUCGCUCGGACGAUUCGUUCGUGAAUCAGCCACUUACACGAAAAUCUUCCAAACUUUCAUUUGCUUCUUGAGUUUGCAAAUUUAAAUGGAAGGUAAUUGCAAAGUUAAAUGGAAGAAAGAAAUAUUAAACGAAGCAAGCUUGAUCAAUUUAUUCAAACAAGAUUUCAUUAAUGGAAAUAUAUGCUGUUGAAACUGUAACGUUUCCCAAUAACACAGUCAUGGGUUCACUUCUACUAGAACUUGCGGAUCUUCGUUACUCGUGUUUCUUCAACAGUCUAUUAACAUUACGUAUGAUUUUUGAUAUUCACUUGAGUUGACAAACCUCUGACCAGUGAAUCUAAUUAUCUGAACCUAUACUUCUAUUACGUGAAUUGUAAGUAGUGGAGAAGGUAGAGCAGCAUUCCUAUUGUAUCAAUUCUAAUUACGUGAAUUCUUUGAUAAGUUCGCACACAGUGAGAGCCAACGAGCGAGUAUACACUUCACAAACAUUUUUUAUAUUCCUAUUUUAUGUCUUUUCAAUUAAUUUUUAAUUUAUGUAGCAUACAUAUGCAGAGUAGGACCUACUCUACGGAUAACGUUCCACUAUUCGGACACUUUUCACGUGGAAAAAGCUUAAUCCUCUGCAAGAAUGUUUGUUAACAAUCAACGAAGCUACCAGCGAAAAGACGAUACAGCUUCACGAACAAUUAAAAGGAUUAGCUGUUGUACUGCUGUUAUAUGUGUUAAAUGCGAUACUAGGAAGAUCGAGGACACCAUAUUUAUUAUAUUACAACAGAUUUAGAAGAAACUGCUUUUCCAUACAAUACCAGAAUUCGAUGAUCUUGAUAAUGUCGACGCAAUAGAACGCUUUUAAUGUGAUGAAUCUUCUUCUUCAGUGGACGUCUUCUUCACAUGAUGUUAAUGUCACGUAUGCUUCGAAUAAUGAAUUGAAACAUGAAUAUAAAUAAUAGCAAUGAUGAUAUGCCUGAAUAUUUCAAAGCACUUAAUAGCUUAACAAAAUAAAGAUGGUAGGAGGUCCAAAAGGAAUGUAAUUUUAUGGGAUUAAAUCUACUAAAACGUGAUUUAGUAGGUCGUUUGGUGGAGAAACGCGACGGAAGGGAAUUGGCGUAGCUGCUGAUCGCACAGUUUCUCGGUUACAUUGGUGUAACCGGUUCUCCACGACUUCUCGUCGAGUGUCUUUGUGUCGUCGAGGAAUCCGUGCCGUUCGAGCGAUUUUUAUUAAACGACGCGGCUCACAGAGUACAUUGUUUGUCGCGAGCAACGCCACUUCAUCGCCUCUUGUGGGAACAGCCAACCCCGAGCCACCGUAGAAUCUCGCAAUUGCUGACUGACGAUUUAGAGCCCGACCGAUUAAAACGGACUGAGAAAAGGAAAUUUAUUUGGUAAGAAAGAAGGUUUUUUCGUUUUUGUGUUUGGAAGAAUGGCGCUUUUUUGGCAACUGUGUGCUACAGAGGCGGGCAGAUCUCUCCACGUGUGGCGUAUAUAUUGGCUUCCUUUAGUUUAGGAUUUCCUAAACUGCACCUUGUUCGAUGCAUAUAAAAUAUACUGUACCUAUCUGCCAGGAAAUAAAACAAGAUACAACAAAUUUCUAUUGGAAGUAGCUAGAGAAUGGACAACUGUGGAUUCUAAAGAAUGCAGCAUUGCACCUGACACUUCUCAAAUUUCUAAAACAGCUCCUUAUUAUAAUGAUGCAUCCUUCACUGAUUCCUUCACUAAAAAAUAGUCACUGGUAGAAAAACAAAUCCAACUAGAGCGUGUAGACUAUGCUGUUCAAAAGGAAAACGCAGAAACUAAAUAUAUUUGCAAAAGUUGUUGUGUACCAUUACACGUAGGUGAUUGUUACACUGUUUAUCACAGGAGAAAGAAAUAUUAGAAGUCGAAUAACAAAUAGAAUUUAUUAAAGUUUAUUUAUACUGUUUUACUUGCACAUCCAAUUACCAAAUAAUAGCCGGUGACAUGAGAUAAAUUCUCAGUAAAAUUGUCAGUCAACAAUGUGUUAACAGCGCUUUUUUAAAGUUUCUAACUCCGCAAGUAUUUUGAAUAGAUUACACGCGUUUAAUGAUAUUAUAUAAUGUUUCUAAAUAUUAUUAUAGCGUGGAAAUGCGAUGAAAAGAAAUUGCUUGAGGCUGUACAGGUAAAUUUUAUCGACUGCAAACUAAAGUACCGUCUGAUAUUAUUAAUAUUGACAACCUAUUUAUCGAUAUAUAAUAUAUACAUAUAAUAUUAAUUAUAUGCAAUAUCCGAUGGAAUACCCGUGAAAGUUUAUUUACGCUAUGUCAUAUUAAAAAGGCAAUUUUCAAACGGUAUUUAUUUCCAUAUCGUCUAUGCUUUAUAGGAAUUAUUAUGAAAAUUCUUUUUCAUAUUUCCUGCUUUUUAAUUCUCCUUUCAUAUUCCACUUGAUAUCGCUUGGAUAUUGUAAAACACACGUACAAAAUGUGUAUAACCGAAGAACGAAUUUUGUAUUAUGUUUGUCCGUGAACUCUUCCCACUCCUUUAUGUCAUAAAUUACAUGUUAUAUAUUCUAAUCAUAUGUGUAGUUUGAACAAUGCAUAUAUAUUCAGUGUAACUGUAUCCAUUGACCAUGAAUAUAUUCAUUCAAAUAUAAACGCACAUACAUUAGAAUUCCACAGAAAUUGUUGAGUAAUUAGAAUAAUAUAUGCAUAUUCGUAACAACAUUUUGAUAAAAGUAUUGGGUUGACAACCAAGUGAUUGCGGAUUUUGUCAAUACCACCUAAUGACAAAAUCCGCAAUCACUUAGUUGCUCAAUAAUAAUCCAUAUGAAUGGAAUGAAUUCCAUGGCAUAAAUUCCAUUUGAGAAUUGCCUUUUUAAUAUGAAAUAGCGUAAAUAAGCUUUCACAGGUAUUCCAUCAAUAUUACAUAUAAUUAAUAUUAUAUAUAUAUUAUAUAUCAAUAAAUAUCCAAUAGUACUCUAAAGUACGUUCAGGACGUGAAGGAUUAAAUGAAGCUUACGCAGCUUGCAAAUGAUUUUAACGGAAAUAUUCAAAAGCUUAGCAACUUCCAAAUCAAAUACUCGUAAAAACCCUAACCUCGUUUCAUCCUCUUUUAAACGUCAAAUUAAACCGAAAACGAGACGUUUCCCUUACCCUGCAAUCUGUUUCUCACCAUCAAACCUCAUAGUUCCCCCUCAAACACAUUUUAAAAUCGCUCGUUCAGCACCCUUAUCUUCCUUCCCAAUCUCUUUCUCCUUUUAUUCGUCUGCAGGAAGAAAGAGAGAGGGAGGGAGGGAGGGAGGGAGGGAGGAAGGGAAGGAGGGGGGGAGGGAGGGGGAGAGAGAGAGAGAGAGAACGAUUCCCUAAUUUCACCCAAUUUUCUCCAAUUUUUCCCAAGGUAACUCUGGAAUCAGCCGAAGCAGAAAAGCGUGGCGUGCACCAACCCGAGCCAGCUUUUAUAUUUCCUCCACGUUAGAUUGCGUUCCUCGACGUACGUAUGUAGGUCGUCGCGUUUCUUCCUGGCGUUCCAGCUUCAGAAAUUUGCGUUUAAGUCCCGUGGAAUCGACUUUCGACAGCCGCUCCCAGCCGUGAUUCGUCGUUCAUUUGUUUAUAUUUAUUCAAUCGUUUGCGUUUUGCAAUGUUGUUGCGCCUGGCGAUGAUGAAAGGUUUCGCGAUAUUUAUUUUGUUCAUUGCAGAUUGAUUCAACUGGCUGAAUCUUUCUUUUGUUUAAUCUUUCAAACAUCACAUGAUUAGUAUAGGCGAUGUUGUUUACCGACUUGACUUCUGUGUAACUUGAUCAUCUACGCUAUGCCUUUCUUAUUCCACGAGUUUAUCUUUCGAUGUUGAACGAUGUCGAAUAAGCGAUGCUGGAUUAAACGAAGCUUCUGUUUAGUUUCAUUUGAUGUUUCCAUUAUUCUCGAUUAUUAUUGUUGUUGAUAAUUUUCUCACUGCUUUCUUAUCCCGUGGUUCUGUAUACUUAUAAAUUGACAGUUUACGAUAUUAAGAAUUGGGAGGACUUUCAUAUGUUUAAUAUAAUUACAAUACAAUUUCGAUGUAGUAGGUGCAUGAUCUAAUCAGGUUCAAUAGGACUAUUGGGUUGACAACUAAGUGUCACUUAUCACGCAAUUACUUAUUUGCAGAUCACUUAACCUCAACCUAACCUCAAUACGUAGAACGUAGCAGAAAGGAAGAAACUUGUAGAUGUUUAAAAUCUCUCAAUUAUAUGAUAUUUGCCACGCGACUAUUUAUGCCUUUAAUACAGCCCAAGGUCGGUACUCUAUCAACAUCAUCAAGCGAGUGAAACUUCUAACCCUAAUUCACUUCCAACCUUCAUUACCACCUAGUGACAAACUCCGCAAUCACAUAGUUGCCAACUUAAUACUUUUAUGUACUUUUACUUUUACUACACUGAUAUAAGAAUAAAAAGAUCUAUGUACUCUCUUUCACUAAGAAUACAUCAAUCAUUCAAUGCAAUUGAACCUGCAUACUGAAUCGAUCAUUUAUGACAGUCCGCAAAAUUCUCAAGUAAUUCUAUAAAUUUUGUCCAUCUGGUAUCAUCGUUAAAAGCAAACGAUACCAAAUUUCUGAUUGCUGUCUGAUGAAGCAAAGCCGUGCGCUUGAAGUCACUUCGAUGUUAGGGAAAUAUCAGAUGAAAGAGGCGCGAACCGUAAUAUGGUGAAAGUUGGCAUAACUGAUGGAAGGAAGCGGACGAGAGCGGAAGUUAGUGGAAAAACCAAUGAAUGGAAGGAUUUAAUCGCGCGAUCUAGUUUCGUAGGCGAAGUGAAGUUGUUCGUGUUUCGAUGCCAGGUACAGCUGACGCUGACAAUUUAUCGAGCCGGUAGCACCGAUUCGAAUACGCUCUCGGGUUAUUUCGUCUGCAAGUGUAAUAAAAAUGGAGAAAGAAGAAGGAAGUGAAGAGACGCGACAGAGACCUACCGAUACCGAUUCCUCUCCAUUUAGUCUUAUUUCUUCUCCAUUUUCGACUCGGUGCUCACUUUAAAGCGCUGUCUCCGCGCGCCAAUUGCCAACACCUUUCUGCAGACUGCGCUCCGGGUUCUUUCGUUUGCAAGUCUAAUAAAAAACGAGAAAGAAGGAGAAGAAGAAGGAGUAGAAGAAGAAGAAAAGAUACGGAGAGAAAGAAAGGACGACAAGGGGAGACUUACGGUCCUCGUGGAAUACAGAGGAAACGCGGCGCGUAAAUAGAGCGAAUAAAAGAGGUCGAGUUGAAAUGGGGCUGAAAAUUUGUAAAGAUGAGGAAAAGGGUUUUUUUCGAGUUAAUGAAGGAAUUGUACAGUGGAAUUCAUGUCAUUUUAACGAACGACCAAUUUCAAGAGGAACCGAUUAUUUCUUCGUUAGUCAUUAAACUAUACAUUGUGUUGAUUUUCACCAGUCAGCUGCUUGCUACUCCAUUGCAUCGAUAAAAUAGAAAUUUUCUACCGGACAAACGAGCUCAGGUUAUUGGUAAUCGCCUGGUAAAUAAAAAAUCGUUGAUUCACACCGCCUCGUCAUAGAAUACCUUGGCUAUCGCGUGAGAGGACGAUUUUGCAAUCGCAGGAAUAUUAUUUGGCGAGCCCGUGCUAUCAUUAGCGAGCAAUUCAUCGUGUCGUGACAGGAAAAUUGACCGUCCAAACACGGAGAAUCGAUAUUCCAUUACGGAGGAUCGGUGGUUGGCCAGAGAGAGGCUGCGAUAAGAGUUCAACUAUGGCGAGCGGGCGUCGCUUUGAAGAUAGAAGAUGAUAAAAACGUCUGGAAAAUAUUUCUACUACUAAAAUAUCACAACAGACAGAAAGAAAAUAUACCUGUAAAUCGGUGUGCAAUCUAGUGAUCUAAUUACAAACUUGAAGCAAUUACUUAUCAAUUACCGACUGUUCAUAAAAAGGCUAAUUUUCAGGAAGCUGGUUCCAUCAUUCCCCGGGCAGCUUUUUCAACUUCGUUUUCGAGUCAGCUUUUAUCGCGUUUCAACGAGAAACAACGCUACAAUUAGCAGUCGCUAAUUACCAACCGAUUAAUGACAAUACGAGCACAUAUACAAGCGAAUAUUCGCGUUUACCAAUCGAUCCACGGAUUUAUCUAACAGAGAUCUCGAUAUCCAGAAAUUUCGUUCUCACGUUCUUUUGCCUUUUCUGCUUGUCCCUUGCACCUGGCUUCGUCUCCAACGGAAAAAAACCGCGGAGUAAUUAAUCGUUAACGAGCAAUAAUUAAUGACAAUAGGAAGUAUUGGUUCACAAGUGUCGUCCUCGAGUAACGAACGAUUGCUAAUUAAUGUUCAGCGUGGAGGAGUAUUGCCAUCAAGUUUCAAGAAGGCUUGUCAGUCUCGUGUGGCAUUUUCGCGGUAAGAGGGUAAUACUGACGAACAGUUGUUGGAAUUUAGACGAUGAAACGAGCGAUAAUUAUAAACGAAGCAAGUUUCUUCGUAUGAAUAUCGAAUGGAUGUGUUGUAGGCUGUUUUACAUUUGUAGUUUAACACUUUACCGACCAAUAGCCGAUUAAUCGGUAAUAAAUCGCUUACCGACCGAUAUUAAUGCUCAUUAUUUCAGCAGUAAUUUGUUAUUUAGUAUUAUAGUAUCUUGCUCAGUUGCGUCAGUUGCGUUGCUUUGUAAGCUCUCACAGUUUUAUACCACUUUGAAAAACGUAUCGUUCGCGAAGAGCAAAAAAAAUGGUAUUGGAAUGUCUAAACCGAAACAGAGCCGGCGCCAGGGAGAAUCUGCGCCUGAGAUGCCGAUCGGACGUGCGUAUGUUGUUGAAUCGCCAGCGGUCGGUAAAUUGUUAAGAUUAACAUCGAUUUAAGAUAAUUGAUUGUAUCCAAAAGAUACAAUUUAUGGAUGGAAAAAUGUAUAUACAAAUAAUGUCACAAGGACGCGGUAAAGUAGCUUUUUUAAGUCGUACGUUAAAAGUAUUAUAAUACCGACUUCUAGGGAGAACAAUUUUCUGAAUACAUAGAAUGUAAUUUGCUAGAUUUCUGGCGCAAACAUAAUUCUGUGAACUAACAGGCUUAGAAUUAAUCCAGCGGGAUUGAAGAAAUGAAGGACAAUGAACUCGAAGUGAACUGAGUCUAUUUGAACAUUAUAACAUGUUGUUUCUACUUUUCUAACGAACUUCUACUUGACAAAGAAUUUCAAGGAAAUUAGUAACGACGAUUCUAAAAAACAAACUAAAAAUUGUAAUCAAAGGUGUUUCAAACAAAGAUUGCUAGGUGUAAAGAAAUAGUAUCAAAAUAGUAUCAAAAAGUAUAAAAAAUUUAUCAAAUUAUAAUCUAUAAUCAGAGAUGAAAUGAGCAAUUCUAAAGCAAGGGGUUAAAAAUGACUAUGGAUUCUUUUUAAUUAUUAUUCUCUUUAAUUAUUAUACUCUUAAUUAUUGUUGUGCUGAUUUAUUAAAAACAAUAGGACUCGCUUGGUAUGUAAGAUCUAUCUGCGACAACAUUUGUAAAACAAACAAAACAGAAAAAAACGUUAUCACUGUUAAAGUAGUGAUGUAGUUGCACACGAGAGUAGAAAAGUCAGAGAGAGUAGAAAAUUGGAAUCUGCGAGAGACCCACAUUAUUGUAUCUUUGAUGUAUGAUAUUGUUGAGGUUAAGUGAUAGAGGAACGAGUGGAUGAAGUGGAACAGUAAAGUAUAUUGAAACAAGUAUAGGUAUAAGUAUAGUGUAUGCUGAUGAAGAUCUGCACUCUUAUAGCGUUACAAUACAAUAAAAAGAAGAAUAAGGA
Molecule: long non-coding RNA, 17140 nt
Organism: Bombus huntii
Lineage: Eukaryota; Metazoa; Arthropoda; Insecta; Hymenoptera; Apidae
Exons: 11
Source: RefSeq, a predicted model, not a curated record